UGGCUGCGGCAAGGGCUGCAGCGAGGAGCUGUGGGGCGUUGGGGAGGAGAAAGGAAGAAGAGGAGAAGAAGAAAAGAAGAAGAAGAGGGAAAAGAAGAGAGGAGGAAGAAGAGGGAGAAGAGAAGAAUAGAAGAAGAAGAAAAAGAGAGGGAAGUGGGAGAGGAGCGAGAGGUGGCAGCAGUUAGGGCUGCAGCACCUCUGUUUCCUGCAGGUGGAAACAGAGGAGAGGUAUGGGGAGUUCGAAGAGGAGAAGAAGAAAAAGAGGAAGAGAAGAAAAAGAGGUUGUGAUACCUCUGUUUCCUGCAGAGGAAACAGUGGAGAGGGUGUGUGUGACGCCGGGGAGGAGGAGGGAAGAAGAAGAGGAGAAAAAGAGAAGGGAAAGGAGGAGCUGCGGUUGCGACGGUGCCAGCUGCAGCUGGAAGAGAAGGAGAAGAAGAGAAGGUGAGGAAGAAGAGAAGCAUAAGAAAGGAAGGAGAAGGAAGAAGGAGAAGAAGAGGGAAAAGAGAGGGAAG
This 512-nucleotide long non-coding RNA is filed under the name Musa acuminata (dwarf banana). RNAcentral's name for it is "long non-coding RNA (MACU_LNC009089)". Lineage: Eukaryota; Viridiplantae; Streptophyta; Magnoliopsida; Zingiberales; Musaceae. The record is from RNAcentral.